AAAUAACAAUACGGGGCUUAAUGUCUUGUAAUUGGAAUGAUGGGAAUUUAAACCUCUUCCAGAGUAUCAAUUGGAGGGCAAGUCUGGUGCCAGCAGCCGCGGUAAUUCCAGCUCCAAUAGCGUAUAUUAAAAUUGUUGCAGUUAAAAAGCUCGUAGUUGAAUUUCUGCUGCAUUGCAUUUUCUCCUAUACGAGUUUUUGCAUUGUGGCUUAUUUCGGUUAUAAAAUUUAUUUUAUUUCCGGAUGUUUACUUUGAGAAAAUUAGAGUGCUCAAAGCAGGCUUUUGCCUUGAAUAGUUUAGCAUGGAAUAAUAAAGUAGGACUUUGGUUCUAUUUUGUUGGUUUUAGGUACCAAAGUAAUGGUUAAUAGGAACAGUUGGGGCAUUCGUAUUUA
Molecule: ribosomal RNA, 391 nt
Filed under: Theileria sp.
Lineage: Eukaryota; Apicomplexa; Aconoidasida; Piroplasmida; Theileriidae
Description: SSU rRNA
Rfam family: Eukaryotic small subunit ribosomal RNA
Source: RNAcentral